AACGAACGCUGGCGGCAUGCCUAACACAUGCAAGUCGAACGAGACCUUCGGGUCUAGUGGCGCACGGGUGCGUAACGCGUGGGAACCUGCCCUUAGGUUCGGAAUAACUCCUCGAAAGGGGUGCUAAUACCGGAUAAUGUCUUCGGACCAAAGAUUUAUCGCCUUUGGAUGGGCCCGCGUUGGAUUAGCUAGUUGGUAGGGUAAAAGCCUACCAAGGCGACGAUCCAUAGCUGGUCUGAGAGGAUGAUCAGCCACACUGGGACUGAGACACGGUCCAGACUCCUACGGGAGGCAGCAGUGGGGAAUAUUGGACAAUGGGCGAAAGCCUGAUCCAGCAAUGCCGCGUGAGUGAUGAAGGCCUUAGGGUUGUAAAGCUCUUUUACCCGGGAUGAUAAUGACAGUACCGGGAGAAUAAGCUCCGGCUAACUCCGUG
This 433-nucleotide ribosomal RNA is filed under the name uncultured bacterium. RNAcentral describes it as "partial 16S ribosomal RNA". It matches the Rfam family "Bacterial small subunit ribosomal RNA", at positions 29 to 507 of the family's 1533-position model. The record is from RNAcentral.